UGGGGAAUAUUGCACAAUGGGCGCAAGCCUGAUGCAGCCAUGCCGCGUGUGUGAAGAAGGCCUUCGGGUUGUAAAGCACUUUCAGCGAGGAGGAAGGUGGUGGACUUAAUACGUUCAUCAAUUGACGUUACUCGCAGAAGAAGCACCGGCUAACUCCGUGCCAGCAGCCGCGGUAAUACGGAGGGUGCAAGCGUUAAUCGGAAUUACUGGGCGUAAAGCGCACGCAGGCGGUUUGUUAAGUCAGAUGUGAAAUCCCCGGGCUCAACCUGGGAACUGCAUUUGAAAACUGGCAAGCUAGAGUCUCGUAGAGGGGGGUAGAAUUCCAGGUGUAGCGGUGAAAUGCGUAGAGAUCUGGAGGAAUACCGGUGGCGAAGGCGGCCCCCUGGACGAAGACUGACGCUCAGGUGCGAAAAAGCGUGGGGAGCAAAACAGGAUUAGAUACCCUGGUAGUCCACGCUGUAAAACGAUGUCGAUUUUGGAGGUUGUGCCCUUGAGGCGUGGCUUCCGGAGCUAACGCGUUAAAUCGACCGCCUGGGGAGUACGGCCGCAAGAUUAAAAACUCAAAGGAAUUGACGGGGUCAUAGCUGUUUCCU
RNAcentral lists this ribosomal RNA (593 nucleotides) under uncultured bacterium. Its description in RNAcentral is "partial 16S ribosomal RNA". It matches the Rfam family "Bacterial small subunit ribosomal RNA", at positions 355 to 1375 of the family's 1533-position model. The record is from RNAcentral.